This 433-nucleotide ribosomal RNA is filed under the name uncultured bacterium. RNAcentral describes it as "partial 16S ribosomal RNA". It matches the Rfam family "Bacterial small subunit ribosomal RNA", at positions 29 to 507 of the family's 1533-position model. The record is from RNAcentral.
AACGAACGCUGGCGGCAUGCCUAACACAUGCAAGUCGAACGAGACCUUCGGGUCUAGCGGCGCACGGGUGCGUAACGCGUGGGAACCUGCCCUUAGGUUCGGAAUAACUCCCCGAAAGGGGUGCUAAUACCGGAUAAUGUCUUCGGACCAAAGAUUUAUCGCCUUUGGAUGGGCCCGCGUUGGAUUAGCUAGUUGGUAGGGUAAAAGCCUACCAAGGCGACGAUCCAUAGCUGGUCUGAGAGGAUGAUCAGCCACACUGGGACUGAGACACGGCCCAGACUCCUACGGGAGGCAGCAGUGGGGAAUAUUGGACAAUGGGCGAAAGCCUGAUCCAGCAAUGCCGCGUGAGUGAUGAAGGCCUUAGGGUUGUAAAGCUCUUUUACCCGGGAUGAUAAUGACAGUACCGGGAGAAUAAGCUCCGGCUAACACCGUG